AGAUAUUGACCCUUUGGUAUAGGACUCCUGAAGUCCUUCUGGGAGCUACACAUUACUGUUGGCUGUAUAUUUGGUACUUAUCCGUUUCCUACAGAGUGUGUUUGAACUUCAAUAUAAUUGAAUUGUACAGUUGUGUCAUUGGUUUAACAGUAUAUUCUAUCUGAUUUUAUAGCUUUACUUGUAACAAAACAAGCACUCUUCUCUGGAGAUUCUGAACUGCAGCAGCUCCUGCAUAUAUUCAGGUUCAGCAAUAUGGCAUCCACUUCUUCCUUACCAAAAAAGGUGCCGUUUACUUUGUUCCUUUGUCAUUUGGACUAAUUGGAAUUCAUGGAUUUUUUUUUCUCUACGUUGAUUAGGUACUCCAAAUGAACAAGUGUGGCCAGGUAUAAACAAACUCAAUGAACUGGCAUGAAUACCCCCAGUGGAGCCCUCAAAAGUUU
Molecule: long non-coding RNA, 440 nt
Filed under: Prunus dulcis (almond)
Lineage: Eukaryota; Viridiplantae; Streptophyta; Magnoliopsida; Rosales; Rosaceae
Description: sRNA ncRNA
Source: RNAcentral